This 407-nucleotide ribosomal RNA is filed under the name Verrucomicrobiota bacterium. Its description in RNAcentral is "Verrucomicrobia bacterium partial 16S ribosomal RNA". It matches the Rfam family "Bacterial small subunit ribosomal RNA", at positions 355 to 776 of the family's 1533-position model. The record is from RNAcentral. Lineage: Bacteria; Pseudomonadati; Verrucomicrobiota.
UGGGGAAUAUUGGACAAUGGAGGAAACUCUGAUCCAGCAAUUCUGUGUGUGUGAAGAAGGUUUUAGGACUGUAAAACACUUUUAGUAGGGGAGAAAAAAAUGACGGUACCUACAGAAGAAGCAACGGCUAAAUACGUGCCAGCAGCCGCGGUAAUACGUAUGUUGCGAGCGUUAUCCGGAAUUAUUGGGCUUAAAGGGCAUCUAGGCGGUAAGACAAGUUGAAGGUGAAAACCUGUGGCUCAACCAUAGGCUUGCCUACAAAACUGUUGAACUAGAGUACUGGAAAGGUGGGUGGAACUACACGAGUAGAGGUGAAAUUCGUAGAUAUGUGUAGGAAUGCCGAUGAUGAAGAUAACUCACUGGACAGAAACUGACGCUGAAGUGCGAAAGCUAGGGGAGCAAACAGG